AACAGGAUUAGAUACCCUGGUAGUCCACGCCGUAAACGUUGGGCGCUAGAUGUAGGGACCUUUCCACGGUUUCUGUGUCGUAGCUAACGCAUUAAGCGCCCCGCCUGGGGAGUACGGCCGCAAGGCUAAAACUCAAAGGAAUUGACGGGGGCCCGCACAAGCGGCGGAGCAUGCGGAUUAAUUCGAUGCAACGCGAAGAACCUUACCAAGGCUUGACAUACACCGGAAACGGCCAGAGAUGGUCGCCCCCUUGUGGUCGGUGUACAGGUGGUGCAUGGUUGUCGUCAGCUCGUGUCGUGAGAUGUUGGGUUAAGUCCCGCAACGAGCGCAACCCUCGUUCUAUGUUGCCAGCGCGUUAUGGCGGGGACUCAUAGGAGACUGCCGGGGUCAACUCGGAGGAAGGUGGGGAUGACGUCAAAUCAUCAUGCCCCUUAUGUCUUGGGCUUCACGCAUGCUACAAUGGCCGGUACAAAGGGCUGCGAUACCGUAAGGUGGAGCGAAUCCCAAAAAGCCGGUCUCAGUUCGGAUUGAGGUCUGCAACUCGACCUCAUGAAGUCGGAGUCGCUAGUAAUCGCAGAUCAGCAACGCUGCGGUGAAUACGUUCCCGGGCCUUGUACACACCGCCCGUCAAGUCAUGAAAGUCGGUAACACCCGAAGCCGGUGGCCUAACCCUUGUGGAAGGAGCCGUCGAAGGUGGGAUCGGUGAUUAGGACUAAGUCGUAACAAGGUAGCC
RNAcentral lists this ribosomal RNA (733 nucleotides) under uncultured Curtobacterium sp. Its description in RNAcentral is "bacterial SSU rRNA". It matches the Rfam family "Bacterial small subunit ribosomal RNA", at positions 771 to 1501 of the family's 1533-position model. The record is from RNAcentral. Lineage: Bacteria; Bacillati; Actinomycetota; Actinomycetes; Micrococcales; Microbacteriaceae.